RNAcentral lists this ribosomal RNA (253 nucleotides) under uncultured bacterium. RNAcentral describes it as "partial 16S ribosomal RNA". It matches the Rfam family "Bacterial small subunit ribosomal RNA", at positions 524 to 776 of the family's 1533-position model. The record is from RNAcentral.
UACGUAGGUGGCAAGCGUUGUCCGGAUUUAUUGGGUUUAAAGGGUGCGUAGGCGGCCCUGUAAGUCAGUGCUGAAAUAUCCCGGCUUAACCGGGAGGGUGGCAUUGAUACUGCGGGGCUAGAGUACAGAUGAGGUAGGCGGAAUUGACGGUGUAGUGGUGAAAUUCGUAGAUAUUCGCAAGAACACCAGUGGCGAAGGCGGCUCACUGGCCCGAUACUGACGCUGAGGUGCGAAAGCGUGGGGAGCAAACAGG